Molecule: ribosomal RNA, 541 nt
Filed under: uncultured bacterium
Lineage: Bacteria
Description: partial 16S ribosomal RNA
Rfam family: Bacterial small subunit ribosomal RNA
Source: RNAcentral
UGGGGAAUAUUGCACAAUGGGCGAAAGCCUGAUGCAGCAAUGCCGCGUGUGUGAAGAAGGCCUCGGUUGUAAAGCACUUUGUCCGGAAAGAAAUCCUUGGCUCUAAUACAGUCGGGGAUGACGGUACCGGAAGAAUAAGCACCGGCUAACUACGUGCCAGCAGCCGCGGUAAUACGUAGGGUGCAAGCGUUAAUCGGAAUUACUGGGCGUAAAGCGUGCGCAGGCGGUUUGCUAAGACCGAUGUGAAAUCCCCGGCUCAACCUGGGAACUGCAUUGGUGACUGGCAGGCUAGAGUAUGGCAGAGGGGGGUAGAAUUCCACGUGUAGCAGUGAAAUGCGUAGAGAUGUGGAGGAAUACCGAUGGCGAAGGCAGCCCCCUGGGCCAAUACUGACGCUCAUGCACGAAAGCGUGGGGAGCAAAACAGGAUUAGAUACCCCUGGUAGUCCACGCCCUAAACNAUGUCAACUAGUUGUUGGGGAUUCAUUUUCCUUAGUAACGUAGCUAACGCGUGAAGUUGACCGCCUGGGGAGUACGGUCGCAA